GAAUCCACAAAAAAGGAAAGCUGCUGAGAAUUGAAAGAAAAGUUACUGUUCUAUUAAAAAUUUCAGUGAUUUUUAUUCCUUUUCAACUUCUAAAACUGUUAGAAUUCAUCCAAGUGAGAAAUGGCUUAAACUUGGUUGUCAAAGUUUUAGUUUAAAGCUUUUCUAGACUAUUUCAUUGGUUUGAACCUGAUAUCUUUAGCUGUUAUCUAUCAUUCUGGGGUUCAGAUUUGUUUUUACCGGUUGCUUUGGUGCUAUUUUCUACUGAUGUACCUUCUGAUAUUGUUCUGCUUUGCCGAUCCCUUCUUUUUCCUCAUAUUUUGCUUUCCCAGGUAUUUCUUUAGCUCAUGAUAGAGACAUGAUUGUUGAGCAUGUAAAAGAUUAGAAGUUUUGUUAAAUGAAGAUUCUAUUUUAAGUUGGAUUCCCCUUCUCCUUUUACUAUUACAUGUUCUGUAAUCAGAUUUCAAGUUAUAGAUGUUACUUAGGGCCUUUUGCUUUCCUUUGAAAUUGAGUGUGUGAGAGUGACUUGGUAUGGUAUUUUGUAUCUGUAUCAAUAAGUGAACAAUGGACUUUAAUUAUUCAAGUUCAUGUUUGAUGUUGUAUCCCGGUCUAGCUUUGUGAGUUUUCCUGUCGAGAAUCACUCAGUUUUAGUCUUGAAGGUCAAGGUUGUAGUUUCAGGUUGAUAUAUCUUGAAUUUUGCUUGGUUUUAGUCGAAAUCAGUUGGUACUUAUAAUAUGAUUUAUGUUUCAGUUGGCUUAAAUGGGCAUGCUAUUAGUUUGCUGUAUGAAGAUCUGUUCAUAUGAGCUUUGUUGAAGAUUUAAGGCUUUAAAUUUGAUUUCAAUUUGAUUUGGAGAUUUGGAAGGCAAAGUUUGCCUACAGCUAUGUCAUUUAAAUAGGGUUGGCAAUUUCUUUUAAAACCUAUAUUGCAUUCAUUGUGAG
RNAcentral lists this long non-coding RNA (936 nucleotides) under Nicotiana benthamiana. RNAcentral describes it as "long non-coding RNA (NBEN_LNC033306)". The record is from RNAcentral. Lineage: Eukaryota; Viridiplantae; Streptophyta; Magnoliopsida; Solanales; Solanaceae.